GCAAAUUGGAUGAUUUUAGAGAUGUAAAGUUGUUUUAGUCAGCUAUAUAUAUAUAUAUAUAUAUAUGUAUAUGGAAUUAUGUUACUAUACUAUCGAUAGUACCAAAUGUUUGGUACUAUUAAGUUUUCGGCCGUUGGAUGAAAGGAUGUGCAAUUAGGAUAAUAGUGGUCUCCGGGUAGGAUGAUAGUGAUCUCCUGGUUGGAUGAUAAUGGUUCCCUAGGGUUGAGUGGAUGGUUGAUUGAAUAGUAUAAUCUAAUGGAUGGAAAUGAUCAAAAGGUAGAUCUAACGGUAGAAACCUCGAUAAUAUUAAGAGCUUGGUACUGUUGCUAGUAAAGUAGUUAGACUCAUAUAGAAUUGAGCUCGUACCAUUGAAUUAAAGAAUGUGCGGUUAGGCUGAAGUGGGACCCUUAGGGUUGAGUGAGUGGUUGGUUGAAUAAUAUGAUCUAAUGAGUGAAAAUGAUAAAAGGAAUAGAUCUAAUGGUAAUAAAUUUACAAAUACCAAGUGUUUGAUGUUUUUAUAAGUACCAUAGCCGGACUCUCUCUCUUUCUCUCUCUCUCUCUCUUUCUCUCUCUCUCUCUCUCUCUCUCUCUAUAUAUAUAUAUAUAUAUAUAUAUGAGUCUAUGGGGGAGUAAUUUGUUUUUUACAUGAACUUUUAAAAGUUUUGAUAUCACUUACCUUAAUCUUACAGAAGAAUUUCAUAUAUCAAACAUAUUUCUAGCCCUUCCUGAUCGAGUAUUUUGAGACCUUAUAGAAUAUUCUUCUAUCUGAUGAAUUGUUACAUAAUUUUGUUUGGCUGAAAAAUAUGUGUCGACUUCUGACAAACCUUGCCUGCAUACUCUGGAAUCAAAAGUUGCCAAAAUUUCCAAGUUCAGGUUUCCGUCGCAAGAUCCACUACAUUUCAUGUGAAAUCUAAAUGAUGGAUCUUAAAUGAUUCAUAGACUAUUCACCUAUAGUAAGAAGUUGUCAUGAAGACUCAAAAUGAGAGCACUAAGGCCACAGUAAACAAGUUAUCUGCAAUCUUUCCUCAGCUUGCUCACAGUAUUUGCUGUCGAAGCAGCGAACUUCCGUCCUCGGCUUUUGGGUGCUCCUGAUUUGCUGCUGCUUCGACUGCCGCUGAGCUGAAAAUCGAUUGAGCAGCCGCCGUUCCUCCGAAUUUGCGAAUUGCAAACAACUGCUUUCGUCGUCGAGAAGCGCUCUAAAGAGCAAGAGGAGAGAGGCCAUUUUCAUGCAAAGGUCCAUAUUUUCCUUUCACUGUGUUCGUAUGUUUUUAUAUCUGUCAAUCUCAAGUUAUUACUUGUACCUUAAUUUCUGGUAGAUCAUAUAAAACUGCUGUUGGGUCGCAUGUAAAGAUCGUGUGACCUGCUCGUUCAAAUAUUAAUUGCUCGGCUUCGUAACAAAAUAGAAACUAACCUCUUUUAAUCGGUCAAUGGUUGUUGAUCCACCUGUAUACUCGUCCGUUUAGGUGGAGUAUUAAAUUAAGUUAAUCUUAGUUAUGUUUGUGUAUUGUAAACUUUGGAAAGAAUAAGUACCUCAACUGUUCCUGGUACUCAAAAGUCUAAAAGACCGUUAUGCCCUUCUCUCAUCAUUCCUUUUCGCUUUUAUACCUGAAAUCCCAUUAUUAUCACGAAGAGAUGCUAAUCUUACAAUUAAGUCGUCCAGAUUUUUUCAAAUUUAAAUUCCCUUCCUCACCAGAUAAGCAAUUUUUUUUUAGAACAUGUUUAAACUAAAUUGCAAAAGAUCCAUACGUAUAUUUUAUAAGGCCCAUUAUGGAUCUGAAGCCCAGCCCAAUUCAAGGCCCAUUAGACCCCUCUCCCCCCGCGAGGCUACCACCAUCAUCAAGGCUCUAUGCGGACGCGGCGCCACCGCGCUCGCCCGCAAGGUGUUCGACGAAAUGCCCCACCGGGACGUGGUCGCCUGGACGGCCAUGAUCUCGGGCUACGCAUCCAACGGCCUGCACGACGAGGCGUGGGCGACGCUCCGCCGCAUGGCGGGCUCGGGCGCGGCGCCGAACGCGUUCACGCUCUCCGCACUGCUCGCGGCGUGCCGGGGCCCGGGGCGGCGCCGCGCCCGCGCUGCGGCGCACGCCUCCGCCGUGCGGCGCGGCCUCGGCGCCGCGCCGUACGUCGCCAACGCGCUCCUCGACGCGUACGCGUCCUGCGGCGACGGGGCCGUGGGCGACGCCCGGCGCUUGUUCGACGAAAUGGCCGAGAGAACGGCGGUGACGUGGACGGUUAUGAUUGCGGGGUAUGCCAGGUGGGGUAGGGCUGACGUGGCACUCGAGAUGUUCAGGAGAAUGGUCCUUGUGAGUAUAUUAUACGCGACAUGCAUUUACCAUACUAGAAAUAUGUUGGCCGGACCCGGUCUAUAGACCGGAAGAUAUGACUACGUUCUUCUUAGUGGGAGUGGCAAAUUGUGACCCGACCCGGUUCCCCAAUCAUGCCCGACUCGAAAAAUAUCCGGAUCUAGACCCGUAAUCCGCUUCGAAAAAUCAGGUGUUCUGAGUUCUAUAAUUCUUAUAGACUUAUAUAUAUACACCCCGAGUCGUUGAAUCCAACUCCUAAUAAUUGUUUAAAUAGACGUAUAUAUCUACGUUUGAAGCAAAUCUUACUACAAAUGUGUCAUCAAUUUUACAUUUUUAACAUGCAUAUGACAAUUCAAUCUUUUACAAAGCAGGACAGCGUCGAGCCGAGCCCGUUUGCUUAUUCCAUCGCAAUCAGCACGUGCGGCUCGAUCCGACACCCGACACUCGGUCGGCAGCUUCAUGCAGCCUCUGUUAAACAUGAUCUUAUUUCCAACACCCCCCUCUCCAACUCGUUGAUCGACAUGUACUGCAAAUGCACGAAAAUUCGCCAUGCAAAGUUGUUGUUCAACACCAUGCGUCGAAAAGACGUGAUCACUUGGAACACAAUGAUAGCCGGGCUCGACCGUCACUCUCCGCACGAAGCCCUUCAGCUGUUUCUCGAAAUGCGCGUGCAAAACAUGCGGCCGAAUUGCUUCACUUUCACUAGCGUCGCGUCUUCCUGCGCUAGUCUCGCAGUUUUACGAUGCGGGCGGCAAGUUCACUGCGCUGUGCUUCGGAGCGGGUUCGGAAAUAACCUGCAGGUAUGCAAUGCGCUUAUCGAUAUGUACGCCAAAUGUGGGAGCGUGGACGAGUCGAAAAAGGUGUUUGAUGAGAUGUCCCGUAGAGACCUACUAUCGUGGACAUCGAUGAUGAUCGGUUACGGGAACAACGGGUACGGCUACGAGGCAAUUCGACUGUUUGACGAGAUGGUAAAUGUGGGUAUCCAAUUGGACCAUGUUGUAUUUCUGGGUCUAAUCAGUGCUUGUAGCCAUUCUGGGUUAGUCGAAGAAGGAUGGGAGUACUUUAAUUUGAUGAAAACCGAGUAUCAUGUCGAGCCUAAUUUGGAGGUCUAUGGUUGUGCUGUAGAUCUGUUAGGACGUGCAGGGAGGAUCGAAGAAGCCUUUGAUUUAAUACAGAGAAUGCCGUUUGAACCCGGCGAAUCGAUUUGGGGGGCGCUUCUCGGAGCUUGUAAGAUGCAUAAGAAUGUAAUCUUGGGUAAAUUGGCGGCGAAAAAGAUAAUGGAGUUGAAGCCAAGAGGGGCGACGACUUAUGUUCUACUUUCGAAUAUUUAUGCUGCGGAGAGAGAAUGGGGUGAGUUUGCGAAGGCGCGGAAGGCGUUGAGAGGGACGAGUGAUAAAAAAGAGGCAGGGAUGAGUCGGAUUGAGGUUAGCGAUAAGUUGUGCAGCUUUGUAGCUGGUGAUAAUACUAGUUACUAUGUUGGUUUGUGCAGUGAUGUGUUGGAUAGUUUGGCUCGGCAUAUGGAUGAGAACUCGCAAUUGGAAUUUAUAAGCUGAUGGUGUUGCAUAGUGUUAAUUUAGAUAUAUAGCUCGGGAGCGCGGUGAAACUGUAUAUUGAUCUUAUUUUUCUGGACUUUGUAAAGGGCGACUUGCGUGAAUGCACAGUAUCAUCCAUCUUAGAUUGAUUUUGCGAAUAAAAUACGGGGUAGAGUUUAAGAAGAAGAUUCGGAAAUUGGUGUCUCAAGAAGAGGGUCUAUCAGUUUGCUCUUUGAGCUGGUACAUAGUGAAAAAGUUUUGGAACAACUCGGAGAAUAAGAAGUUCAACUAUCUGAUCCAAGUUGCUUUUAGCGAAAUCGCUCACCAGGUAUAGCUAAAUUAGUCAUUUUGCUUUUGCCAUUCUUUCCUUGCCGUUGAGACGUAACGUAACAAGGAUGUUUAUGGCUAUUAAUUUCAUGUUAAGAAUGUUAACUGGUUUUUUUUUUUUUUUUUUUCNUUUUUCGCCAUCUGGUAAUUUACGAAGAUAUACACUUAUCACAGAACAAAUACAUCAGCCUUGUUAUUGGCUUUACCACUUAGGAUGUACAUGCUAGAGAAGCAGACGAUGACGGCGCAAAUUGUCUUUUUACAAUUCAACUGUCCAACCUACACUUAUCUCAUGAGGAACAGAACUACAGAAGAGCCAAAAAGUCCAAGAUAUUUCUGAGGGGAGGGAAAACCACAGCCUCAGCUUUGUCUGAUGCCUUAUACUUGUGUUUGAUUCUUUCUCACUCCUCUCUAUCCUCUCCUUCUCAUUGAUUAAAACAAACAUGCUAAGCAAUUUAGCAUCGGCGUCUCCUCCCUCUCUCUUCUCAAAUUUCCUCCAUCGUCGGAAGCCCUGCUUUUCGCACUCUAAACCAUUGUGCAGCAGCCUCAGUAAGGAAAGAAGAAAAGGCACUAAAUUCAAAUGGCUCUCUAUCUCCUUUUCGCUUUUCGGGUCGGGGUUCUUCCUGGGCCCUCUUCUCGAUGGCCUGCAUUCGAGGGUCAAUCUCCAAGUGUACCGAAAUUGGGCCGUCGAUAUCGGCCCUCUUCGCACCAACAUCCUCGUACUGUUUCUUUCAAAUUUUCCCUCCAUAUAUAUUUUUUUCUUUAAUUGAAGUACAAUCUCUAUGGUUAUUAUUAGGUCCCUCUCCUCCUUGGGGCGUUUUACUGCACUAUCGGAUUGCUGCAGCUCUACUUGGAUGAAAAGGCCACUUCUAGUAAUGCAAAGCCUUCAGGGAGCUUGAACAAGGCGGCGAUAUCACUAAUGUGCGUAAUCUCAGUGGCACAAAAUCUUUCGGUAAAUACGUAUCGAGACGCCCUGAACUGUAGGCCAUUCUGAAAUAGACCGCUCAACUUUAUUUUCAAACAUUUGCUCGUUUCUGUUAAACGUAAUUGCGAUUCUGAUGAAUUGAAGAGCUUUACCGGCUUUAAAUCGAUCCAUUUUUCUCUCUAUUCUUUGCCGUCAGAGCCCUUGCAUUAUUCGUCGAACUGAGCGCUGAACUGUACAAAGCUGGAGUUCCGAGCAACGUUGAAGCCUACAUACUAUUUGCAGCAGCAGAAUUUUUGUGGCUAUUGCUGGAUGGAACAUGGCUAGGGUUUGCGCUCGCGUGCUUUGUCGGCAUUGCAUGCCCUAUUGCUGAGAUCCCAUUAAUGAAGUAAUUUGCCUAACAUUUUUUAAACUUCUGAUUAUUAGCUCAACAUUCUCUUUCAAAUCAUUUUUUGUUUUUCAGUUUUGGCCCACUUUUUUUCCUUUUCCAGUUAAACCUCUUAGGGGCAUUCCAUGCAAAGAUGUUUCAGCUAAAACCGAAAAAUGGCCGAAAAACGUGCCAACAUUUUUUUUAUUGAUUGCUGCUUCUGUAUCAUCAAAUAUUACAGGAUUUUUCACCUCUGGAAUUACCCAAAUGCUGAUAUCCAACUAUUUGGUGAGGUAAAACCCUCAUUUCUUUUCCCCCCCCUCAGUGGUUCUUCAAAUUGCUAAGCAAUGAGAAAUGUAUAAAUGGUAUUGUUUCCUCUUUUCGCAGGGGCUGAUCAGUUGGACAACUACCUGCUAUUUUGUUUACACUCCAUUUUUGAUCAAUUUGUCGCGUUGGCUCAAGUCGUCCUUCGCCGAUGAUAGCGAUCAAAUAGUUCAGUAGGCAUACAGCAGCAGCAGCAGCAGCAGCAGUUCCGAUGAAACAAUGGAUUUCUCAAAAAUGACGGUAUCGGAGAAGUGUCAUUUGAUUUUAUAUUAACACUCUCGUUCACGCCUUGGCUCAGAAUUUCUCAAUAAGCCCAAAUUGUUGACGUUGGGUCAAACUAGUUUUGGGUUUUCUUUUAACUACUAUUUAAACAACAGAACUGUUUACUGUUUGAUACAACAAACUCGAAACUUCUUGCUCUGAUCAUGUCUUGCGAAAGAUUUGAAUGUUCCAAUAACUUAAGCUAGCAGAGAAAGUAGUACCGUACCUGCUAUAGGACACGAAAGUGUACUCCGUAUUUAACUGAUGUACACGGAAACGAAUUAAAUACACAAUGUGAUCAGUUUAGCCUGAGGUGCUAGCUCAUUUAUGUGGCCAUAUAAGGUUACCUGUUUCAUUAUAGAAAUGAAGUAAUGCACAGCUCAAAGACAAUGAAUCUGGUUAUCAGCAAGAGUGACCAAAUAGAUACAUAUCUUCUUCAGUAGUAAUACUUUUUGGUACAAACUUACCGAAUUUAUUUGAACUAAGGACUAUUUUGAAUUGACUACUAAAUCUUUCAAACUUAGUUUUACUGUCUAAUUUUUUAAUUUAUUUGAUUUGAGUCGGCCAAUAAUAUUUUAAUUUUAAAAUCUGAAUGCGUUGUUUAUUUUUAUAGGUUUAGGUAGCAUACUUCAUGCAAUUGCUGCAAUUAUAGAUUAAUUAAGCUAAGUAGUAAUUAGCUUAUAUUUUGAAGUCAAAGUGUCGUUGGCCGGUUCAAAUCAAACAAAUUGAAAAAUUAGAUAAUAAAAUUAGAACUUUUAAAAAUUGGGCAGUCGAUUCAAAACGACCAUUAGUUCAUGUAAGCUAUGUACAUUUUUACAUAUUUUUUUUAGAGAGAAUGAUAGCAUGUUACUGCUUAGUUUAUUUUAAAAAAAAAUAAAUUUAACUAAAAAUAUAAAGUACGGGUACCAACCAACUAUAAAGUUUUUUAUCACUUGCGGUAGAGACGGUCGAUUUCUUUAGCCGUAACACUACUCUGGAUAAAUUACCACCCUAUGCAAUUUUCUCAGAAAUGGUAAAUGUACUAUAAUCCCUCUUGAGUUUAAAUUUGAAAUUUGUGAUAUAUAUAUAUAUAUAAAAACAAGAUGACAUAUUCUCUCACUUAAUGAAUGGCACAUCUUUUUGUCAGAUGGUAGUUGGCUCUUAUUUUAUUCUCUUGCACCAAAAAUGUAUACAAAACUCACCAAAUUCAAAAGCUUCAUUAAUAAGAACAUGCACUUCUCUUCCCUAACAUGGGAGCUACAGCACAAAAUAAAUGAUAGCAGUGCAGUAGCACAUUGUGAUUCUUCACCAUUUUGGGUAGCAAAAUUAUUAGUUACUAACCGACCGUCCCUGGCGUAAGCGACAAAGGACUUGGCAGUUGGUACUCGAGAUCCCAAGUUCGAAUUCUAAUUGAUUCACAUUUCCAGCUAAGUUUAUUUCUAAGUGAAAUAAACGAAACGGAUAACGUGCUAUCUAUUUUUUUUUUAAAAAAAUUUAUUAGUUACUAUUAUUGGCUAAAAAGCCCAAUAAUUGUUAAUCAGUAGUGUCACAUUAUUUCUUAGAGAUGAAUUAUUAGUUAUCUCGUGGCAGAAAAAUAAUAUGAUAAUUAAAAUAGCCACCACUUUACUAAUGUGUUUAAAAAAAUUACAUGGAGGUUAACAAAACAGUGAUUAAAAUAUAAAUCAAAGUUUAGUAUCUCAAUUAAAAUAAAUUAUAGUUUGAUGACCCAAAUUAAAGCCUAAAGGAGAGUUCUCUCCAAAAGUAAUAUGCCUCAUUUAAAAGAGUUCAAUUUGUUGCUCUUCUGAGGAUAUUAGCCACCUAAGAAAAGUGGGCUUUCUAUGUAUUUAGUAUGUUCAAAUUUUUUUUUUCACAAAUAACCUCAUAAAAUUUAUAAUUAUAAAAUUAGUCAUAUUCCUGCCACGUAAACGUCACGCGAGCAUGGCUGGAAGUCCAGAUUAAGUUGAACACGGUGAAUAAUUCACCGUGUUAGGACACAAAAUGAAUAAUUCACUAUGUUCAACUUAAACUUAUAUAACUUAAAUUUAUAUAUUGUAUAAGUUUAAGUUGAACACGGUAAACUAUUCAUGACGUCCAAACAACGGUGAAUGAGUGGUUCACAGUAUUCAACUUAUUCCAUACUCAUAUGACAUUUGCUUGGCGGAGAUAGGAUCAAUCUUGUAAAUAUAAAUUUUGUGAGGUUAUUUAUAUAAAUUUUUUUUUUUUAGUAGGCUAAAAUGCAGAAAAAAAAUCCCCCAAAAAAAAGUUCAUGGAAAUCAAGUUUUGUUCACUUGUGCAUCAAUCUUUGUUAGAAAGCAAAAAUGCAUCAAACUUUUCCAUCAUUCAAACUUAAUUACACCUUUGCACUCUAUCAAGUCCAUCGUAUCAAUUCCAUAGCUUUGUUAUUGUACUUUUAAGUUUUGGUAAAAAAGUAUAAAAUUUAUCCAAAUUAUAGUCCAUUUUUAUUUUAGUACUCAAAUCUUUCAAAAUUUGAUUUUAGAGGUUAGAAUUUUAAUUGGUUUGAUUUAAAUAAUUUGAAGAUUCUUCGGAUAUAAAAUUUAAGCUAAUUAAUUAUUUUAAUAAAUUUAUAGUUACACAGAUUGAAUAAAAUAUACUAAUUAAAUACGUAAAGAUACUAAAGCUUAAAUUAAAUAAACUAAAAGAUUAAAUAGUAAACUCAAAAUUUUUAAAAUUUAGACAGUUAAUUAAAUUUGAAUGAAUAAUAGUCAAGUUUUAUACAUUUUAUCCGAGACCGCACGCAUGCAUUUGAGUUCGUGCACCUAACUUAUGCCUCUCGGGUCCGACUAUUCAGAAUGCACUAACCAUAUGAGCACAUAUAUCGCGUCUAAAACCUGCUUCGUUCGGGUCCAGUUAUUUUGAGUGCACCAAAGAGUGUAGGAUCAUCAAAUCAUCAUCGGCUCUGAUAUCACUUGUUAGGAAGAUCUAAACCCAGGCCGAGCCCACGCGAGGCCGAGGGAGGAUGUGUUAUAUUUAAUAAAAAAAGUUUAAGCCUAUUAAUUAGGUCCGGACUGACUAGUCUAUAUAUAUCAACCAACUACUUUUUUAUGAAAUAGCUAAUAUGGUACAAUUCAUAUAUAAAUUCUUAACAGGAAAAACUGAACUACUAGCCAGCUACCACAUUAUAUGCACGCUCGUGCGCACGUGCACACACGCAUAUAUACAUAGAGAGAGAGAGUCUAACUAUACUGUUUUUAAAAACACCGAGCAUUUGGCGUUUAUAAGUUUUUUAUAGUUAGAUUUAUUACUUUGAUCAUUUUUAUCUGUUAGAUCAUAUUAUUCAACCAACCAUUCAUUCAAUUUUAUGGAGGCGCACAUCUCUUAAUAUAAGGUCUAAAAUAAUUUGUUUUUUUUUUUUUUUGAGAAAAAGAUAGCAAGCUACUUGCUUCAUUCAUUAAGUAAAAUGAACUGAGCGUACAUGAUGGAAGCAGCUAAGGCCUCUGAAGAAAGGCGAGGAAAGAGAUCGAAAAAGGUGCAAAAAGAUUACAAAAGCAAGAGUGGUGUCGGGAAGAUGGAAGUGUAAGUUGGAGAGCUAGCAAAUUGUUAUCGCAGCACGUUCCAGUCGCUCAUCAGAAGGUUGACCCGUUCAAGUGCCCGGCUGGCAUUGGCCGGUAUUGCCCGGAAUAUAGAGUUGUUUCUGUCCGUCCAAUAAUUUGGUAUUUUUAAAAGUAUAGAAAUCAAUUCUAUAUAUGUAUGUACACAGAGAGAGAGAGAGAGAGAGAGAGGGGCCAAAGUGGCCAAAGUGUAAUUAAUGUUAAUGAAUGACUACAGUACUAGCUCUCCAGCGCAAUUUAUUGAAGGGCUCCUUAAUAAAACCUCAUUGAGACAGUUUAUACGUAAAUCUUAUAAUUUGAAGGGCUCCUUAAUGAGAUCUCAUUAAGACAGUUUAUUCGUAAAUCAUAUAAUAAUUUACUCUGCGUCCAAAUCCUAAUAAGGUCUUAUUCCAAUUGAAAACCUAUUAGCUUUUUUUCCCCUCUUUUUUUUUCUUUUGUGUGUGUCCGGCGGGGGAUUGAGUUUUUUCUUUUUUUUUAGAAAAAGGUAACACACUAUCUGUUUUAUUCAUUGAAUUUAUGAAUUAGGCUAUAUGGAUGAGGCAACGGUAGUCUCGGGUGGGAGUGGAAAAAAAAAAAAAACACUCCCUACAUCAGAGCCUCCGAUUAGCCCGAAGUAAAAAUUCCUAAAGGUUCAGAAGUUACUUAAUCCUCCUAAAUACAAGAAGGGGAUCCGGUCGAGCCUUUCUAAAGAUCACGUCGUUUCUAGUCCCCCAAAUAAUUCACUAACAUUGCGACCAAUCCGGUUAACUUCGGGCUCGUCGCUUGCAGUCCGGUCCCAGCGGACCAAUAAUGGGUGUUAAUGGGGCGGAUCAGAUAAGCAGUGCCGUGGACCAGAAUCCGCUAAGCCCAUUAAAUCAACUUGGGAUUCUAAUUGUGCAUAUAUUAAUACAUAUAUAUCUGGGCCCAAUGCAGUACAAACUGGGUCGUGACUCGAAAUCAGAUUAGGUGGAAACAACAUUAAAUGCAUUGUCCCCCCUGAUAAUUAUGCCACGUCACUGUUAUGCCAUAAAUUCUAUUCUUUUACACCCUCCUCUUUGUGAAAAAUUCUAGAAUGCAACGGGUAUAUUAGUGACGUGGCGUAACAAAUCAAUCAAAUUAAUUUUUUUAAAAAUAUAUGUUCCAUCAUGAUUAUAAAAAAAUAUUUUUAUUGUACUUUUGUUUGAAAAGAAGGAAUGUGAUUGGCUUGUUAUUGAUGACGUGGUGGUGCAAGUGUGACAGUGUAGAAUUCCUCCCUCUUUGGCAACAGGCCAACAACUAACUUAAACAAAAGGACUUUUUCUUUUUUUCUUUUUUUCUUUUUUUUACAUUUAGCCCUUUAAUAUUUUUUUUUUUUACAAAUAAUCUUAAUAAAUUUAUAAUUGUAUAAAAAUAUAAAGUAUACUAACUAAAUCUUUAAUCAUAAAAAAUGACGCAUUCCAAGUUUCAAGUCAACAUGCCCUCAACGAACUCAAAUCAACAAACUGAAAAAUUAAAUAGUAAAAUCAAAUUUUUAAAAAAUGGAGUAGCUAAUUCAAAAAGAUUUGUGGCUCAGAUAGUUCCAAUACCUUCUUAUCUAACUUUCACCUGUUCUGAUAAUAUUUAAAACAAAUACAAAUCUCGUCUUAGGACCGUACCCGACUAAAAUAAACAUGAAUCCACUCUGAUGGGAUUUUUGUUCUAUUACGACUAGGCUAUCAUAUUGAUCUCUGAGUCUCAUUUCAUAACCAUGUCUCACUAGAAACAAGAAUUUUAAAUAACUUUAUACUAAUGACAAAUUUAAGAUUACAUGGGAAAGAAAAGCACAUUAGUUGCUCUGUGGAGGGAUCUGAAUUCCAGAAAGAAAUAUACAACUACGACGGCGCCGAGGUAGACCAUGUAGAGCCGGCCAAAUAUCCGAAUUGGAACUGCGGACGAGACCAGAAUUACCACUUCUUGAGUUCCAUACCUUCAGGUGGNAUAUAUGUAAAUAUAAAUUUGUUAGAAUUAUUUGUAAAAAAUUUUUUGUGAGGGCGCUAAAUGUAAAAUAAUCCCAAACAAAAAUAUAGAAAUUUGUUUUUUUUUUUUUUUGAGAGAGAUAGAUAGUACGCUACAUUUUUCGUUUAUUUCAUUAAAAAUAAAUUUAGCUAGAAAUGUAAAUCAAUUAGGAUUUGAACUUGGGAUCUCGGAUACCAACAAUCAAACCUUUUGCCACUUACUUUAGAGAGUAGGAAAUAAUAUUAUUGUUGUCAUUUAGUACAAAGAGUGUGCGGUUCCUCCAAAAAGUAUGACAAUUUAUUAAUUUUUUUAAAAAAAUUAUGAAAACACAUUAUACUUUGAAUAAAAAAAAAUCUAGAAAAAAAUUACUUUUUUGAAAUUUACAAAAAAAAAAAAAGUGUUUUAGGAAUAUUUUUUUUUUCUAGCGACCAAAUGGGCAGAAACUUUUUUUUUUUUCAGCUAAAAAAUUAUUCCGUGACACUUUUUGAAAAAGAAAGUAGUUUUCCUAUGCACGAGUCUACAAAAAAAAAAAAGAAGCGAUUCUUUUAAUCGAUUCAUGCACACAAUAUUACAUUUGAAAAAUCUUGUUUUUGUUUAUUUCGUUAUAAUUAAAUGACGAUUCCAUUAGCGAUAUCAAAAUUGAUAAAUAUUUUUUAAUACAAGUGAUAUUAAAUUUGAAAAAUGGCUCUUUUUUUUAAUAUAUAUUUUUACUAUUAGAUGAGAGUUUAAAUCAUGUUCUUGUAUACAUACUCUCCGAUGCUCCCCCACGGCCCCACAUUAUAUUGCUAAAGUAAUUAAUGGAAACAGUGCAUGCACAUGACAUGGCCAGCAAAAUUUCAGUGUAUGUCCAUGACUGGAUAAAUGUUACCUUUACUAUUCCUAUAUUGCAAUUUGGUUCAAGUUAUUUCAAUUAGAAUAUUUUAGUUUCUAAACUCUCGUAUGUGUUGAGCUGAAAUACUAUCAGUAGCAAACGAAUUUCGUUGCCACCCAUUUAUUUUCGAUAAUGAAGCUUCCAAAUCGACGAUCGGCACCGUUGAACAUGAUCUAUACUACCUGAAGCAUCAAGAAACUAAAUUUCAUGUUUUUUUUUUUUAUAUAGUUUUCUUAUCCAUCGAGUAGAUGCAAAAAUGAACGGUUGAAAAUAAAUAUUCUUUAAAAAGUGAUGAUAGGAGUUUAUAAUCAAGAUCAAGAGUAUAGAUCUUAUUGUAAAUAGUUUUAAAAAAUUUCUAAUUAAAAUUUAAUUGAUUUGGAUAUCUUUACGCCGUUAAACGAGAAAACGUCUCAUAUUGGCCGUUAAAAUUAUAGAUUUUGAAACCCUUUGAUCAUUAGUCUAAUGAUGUUGAAAAGAUUUGAAAUUUGAUUUCUAGAUACUUAAAGUGGUAUAGAUCAUGUUCGAUGAUACCGAUCGUCGAUUUGGAGGCUCCGUCAUCGAAAACAAAUCGAUGGCAUCAGAGCCUUUUGGUCCUGAUAGCAUUUUAGCUCAACUCCUCUUAUUUAUUCUGUGCGCUAGUCCCUCACUACCUAAAAAAAUAAAAGUUAAAUAAUAAAACAUUCAAAUAGUCCCUAUAAUUUUAAUUUAAACACUCAUUAGUUUAUGAUCCAGCACUAGUUUCUGAUCUUAAAUUAGGUUUUUUUUUUUUACACUAAUAAAGGAUAAAUUACUACAUGCAAAAAAAAAAGAAAGGAAAACUUCAAAUACCCCUUCUGUGGUUUGGCACUUUUUCACUUUAGUACCCUGUGGUUUCAAGUGUAUCAAGUUAGUACUAUGUGGUUUCGCAUUUUCUCACUUUAGUACCCUAUGGUUUCAAGUAUAUCAAGUUAGUACCCUGUGGUUUCAAUUUUCUCUUUUUAUUAUCCAUUUCGGGUUAUAUAAUUUAACGAAAUAUUAAACCACAGGAUACUAAAGUAAGAAAAUACGAAACCACAUAGUACUAAUUUGAUACACUUGAAACCAUAGGGUACUAAAAUGAGAAGGUGCGAAAUCAUAUGAUACUAACUUGAUAAACUUUAAAUCACAGGAUAUUAAAAUGAGAAAGUACGAAACCGCGAGGGGAGGUAUUUGAAGUUUUUUCUAAAAAAAAUAGAGAUCAAGUUGCAAUAUUAAAAUAGUGCAGGAACUACCAAGUACCAACACACCAAUGAAUGAACACAUGCAUCACCCUGGAGGGUAGGGCAUGUUGUAUGGUUUUUAUGGCUAGCUAGCCACCAAAUUGGCCACUGGCAAAGUCUGAUCUGAUUCAUGCUGAUCUCCCCCACCCCAACCUCCUUAAAUUCUACAAUGAAAUCUACCAACCCUAAAGCCCAUGUGUAUUUAAUAUUUUAUUAUUAUUAUUAUUAUUAUUAUUAUUAUUAUUAUUGCAGGAAUCUUAAUUAGCAUUCACUACAUGCCAUGCACAAUAACAAUCCCUUUGAAAUGAAAGGAACUUAUUAUUAUUAUUAUUAUUGUUAUUAUUAUUAUUUUUGCUUCUCAAUAAAUGAUGAAGGAAUUAUUGUCUUGGAAGAAUUGGCUAACUCGUUUAAUAUGGAAAUUGAUAUUGUCAGAGCAGAGAUAUUAUUUUUAAUCACAAUUUAAACAUGUUUGCUCUAGAAAUUAUUGAAAUUGUUUUGAUGAUAUCAAUUUUUUAUUUAAUUUAUAUCUCAACUUGUACUUAUUACUAAAAUAAGUAAUUCUUACUUAUAUCCGAACCAAACGCAGCUAUAACGAAUUACAAGUAUAUUCCUACAAACUUCAACUUUUAACUCUUAUUCAUGUAAAAGUUGAGUGAUAUUCAUAUUUGUUUAUCUGGUUUGUUAUCGUUAGAAAACUGUUUAUUUUUUAACAGCAGAUUAGUGAAAUAUUAAUUUAAUUUGUCAUUAUAAAUAUGUCCAUCCAAAAGCUCCAACUGCUAUAAUCGUGCAGAAAUGUCUCCCCAAAAAUUUUUCAAUGGUCAUCUUCUUCCUCAUCUUCUUUUUCUUUAAAAUCCAAUCCAAUUCACCAUUGUUGCAACCCUUUCUCUCUCUCAUUUUCUCCUAAAUUUUUUUUUGAGCAAAAUAAUAAAAGGUUAUAGAAAAUAUUGAAUGGAAAAGCAACAUAGUUCGUCGUAGGCGAAGCAACACGCGUCAUAGAUGAAUAGGGACAGAGAAUUCUAAUUAUGGAUUCGAAAUUAGUAUGAAGGAGAGAGAGGAAGAGAAAGAGGAAGAAGUUCUUAUUGUUAGGGUCUCGAUUAAGAGAAGAAGGUAUAAUAUAAGAGGGGUAAACAUAUUAAUUUAUCUCAUUAACUAAUCAGGAUUAAGUAAUUUACCUAUGAUUACCCAAUUUUUCUAAUGGAUCCCAACGGCAGUGGCAUAUUCGAAAACUCAGAACUUUUGUAAAAAUAACAUAAAAAAGUUAAACUUUAUAAAAAUAUAUUUACAACUCAUUAUAUUUGCAAUAAGCUGUAUGCAAUUAACCUUUCCUCAAUAGCUGUUAGUUAGACAAAUUAAAUUUAAGUGACCGUUAAAUAUUUCUAAACAUUCAAAGGAAAGGAAAAAAUCUGAAAUCUUAAGAGCCACAUAAUAGUCACGUCCUCAUGGUAAUUCUAUUAAUAGAUCAAAAAUAAGUUGGAGUUGUCGAUUAAAAGUAGAGUCGUGCUAUGUUUUUCGAUUCGAUUGAGCAAGCCGAAUAGACUCGCUGAAUCGGAGAUCGCAUUGAUUAGGGAGGGGGUGUCGGGAUGUACGUCGUUUGGUCCUAAACCGAAAGCCAAGCCAAACCAAACCAAACCAAAUAAGACUAUUUGGAUCGAUUUAUAUAGUUUACGGCUUGAUUUAAUUUUGAAAUUUACUAAAAUUUGAUCUUUUAUUUCGGUUUUGGUUCGGUCUGAACAUGUUUUUUAACCAAACCGAAUAGUAAUAUUUUUUUCACGCAUUGUGCCUAAGCUGUUUAUUAAAAUUUUAUAUUUAUAAAUUAUAAUGAUUCAAGUUUUGAUCUUAAAUUAUAAAUUAAUUUAUAAAAAAUACAAAAUCUAGAAAUUAAUUACAAAACCGAACCAAACCGGAUCGGUUUUGAGUAUAAAUCGGUUUACUUUGGUUCUAACAAAACAUACGGUUCAAUCUAGAAUCUGCCUCAAAACUAAACCAACCAGAGAGUCGAUUAACCGACCGUCCCUAGAGCAAGUGGCAAAGGGCUUGAUGGUUGGUAUUCGAGAUCCAAGUUCGAAUCCUAGUUGAUUCACAUUUCUUGCUAAGUUUAUUUCUAAAUAAAAUAAACGAAGCAUGUAGCGUGCUACCUAUCUCUCAAAAAAAAAAAAAAAAAAAACUAAGAAAGUCGAUUACAACCUCUAAGAGAGGCAAACCUUGUUGUAUAAGCCCCUUUAAGUCUAGGAUGCAAACGGAAUUCUGGUUGUGGAGUUCCCAUCCGAUCCGCUCCGAAUGGAUAUGCAAAUGAGAACAAAUUAUAAAAAAAAUAUUAUCCGCAAUGGAAUUCAUCCUGAUCCGCGAAGUAAAUGGAGCCGAAGGCAGGACGAACUUUUUUUUUUUUUUUUGGAUCCGUUCCUCGAUCUGCUAAAUAUUCGUCAAAAAUUCGCUCUAGUCCUAAUCUAUCCCAAAUAAAGCAGUAAGUAAAAACAAAGAAUUAAAAUUAAUCUACUCUGAUCCUAUAAAAAAACAGAGUGUUAGCCCAAAAAUCCCUCCCGCCUCCGGAUCUGCCCGUCUGCAUCUUACUUCCAUCCACGUUGUAUGGUAUUAUUGUUAAGUUACAUAGUAUUAUUUUAAGCUCAUUAAAGUUUGAAUAGUGAAAUGCAAUCAUGCUAUAAUAUAGACAUAAAUAAAUUAUUAUAUAAUAUUUCUUGGGACCAGAAUCAAUACUCUCUCCACCUACUCCACUCUAGGAUAUUACGAAUUUUGGCUUUUCUUAAAUGAGUAUUAAUUUUCAUGCAAUUGAUAAGACAUUAGAUUUUUUUGUUUUACUAGGUGCUCUAAUUGAGAUAGUGAUCCAAAUUUUUAUUGUGAAAAAAGCAUGUUCUUUUUUAACGAAUUCAAUCUAAAUUGUUUAAAUUCUCUUCAAUUCCGAUGAAAGAUUUUUAAGUAUAUCCUUUUUAUCAAGCAAAUAGCAUGUGAUGCACCCAAGAUGGCACGAAACAUGCUUCAUUUCUAGAUUCUAACAUCCUCUCUUUUGAUGAAUUUGUGGUUCUAUGGCUGUGAUUAAUAGUACAGUAUGAAAUCCAAACAUUUUACCAUCACACUGUUGAUUUAAAAGGGUCAGUAUCUUGUCCUGUCGCAGAAGAUUAGGUUGGACUGAGCCACGUUCAAAAUGACAGAAGGUCUGAUUGGGUCGAAGCUAAAGCUGUCCAAAAUAUGCAAUAUACCAUACCUAAUCCAAACCCUACCUGGACCUUAUCUGGACCAGAAUCGGAUCCAAUAAAAAAUAAAUAGUAUACGGGUAAAAAAAAUUACCCAUUAAAAUUUCGGUUAUGAGAUCGGAUAUUUUAUACCAUACCCGAUUUGGACCCGACCCGAACCCAACUUUUAAAUGGGUAAGGUCUGGAAUAGUUUUCAAAUUUGGACUCGGACUCGAACGAUGAAAUAUCCGAUAGUAAAUAAAAUUUUUUUAAAAAAACUUUUGAAGUUGAGAGAUCAAUUUUAAUAGGAUUUAUAUAUGAGGGGUCUCUAAGUAUUUUCAUCCUACUUAAACACUGAAACCCUAACCUUUCUUUUAUUUUUUUCUUUUUUCUAAUUUUUUUACUCUUUGUUUUUUACUUUUAAAUUUUUUUGUUUCAUUUCUACCUAAGAAUUUUUUAUGAAAUAAUAUUUCCAUCGUCAUCAUCAUCAGCGAUAUUAAUCCUCUACAGAUGUGGCACGAGUGAGUUUUUUCCAAAUCCUUUUUCCAUCAUAGUCGACAAUCUAAUUUUUUUAAAUAAAUAUUCUAUUUAGUAAAUUUUCUGACUCUUCUUUAUUUUUUUCUCUUUUUUUUGAAUGUGAGCAUAUAAUAUUAGUAAUUACUACAACUUAUGUUCUCUUUAUCUAUAAUAUGAUAUCAUAAUUUUUUUAUUUUUGUGUGUUUACAUAUAAAAUUAUUUUAAAUUUUAGACUUUUAAUCAGACAAUAUAAAGGCCAAAACAAGCUCUACCCAGACAAUUUAAUAAAGCCUAUAAAAAAGUUUAUGUAUGCGGAUACCCAUACCCAAUUUGGAUCCGACUCGUAUCCGGUCUUGAACGGAUAACAUACGGAUAGUCACUAUCCAGACCUGCUCAAAUAGAUCCGAUUGAUAUAUUAACAACUUAAGUACCCAGAUCCGGACCCAACCUAAAGUUAAAUGGGUAGGGUAUAUUUUUUUUUCUAACCAUUAUUUUUAGGGUACGGGUACAGUAUAUUGAUUAUCCAAAUCCGAUCCAGUCUACAGACACCUUUAGUCCAAUCAUCUUCGAAGUAGCGUAAGACUGGUUACACUGAGUUACAAUUAAAAUCCAUGAGCGCUGUGUCGUUAUACUUUAAGCGAAUUGGUCGUCAGCCAUUCGAGUUUUUAGAAUUAAUAGACAGGUCCAACGAUCCGGCAUAUACUCCCUCACAUAUUAUAACUAGUUGGUGCAUACCAUCCUCUUUUAAUUCAAGUAUUAGCAAAAAUUUUGAGAAAAAGAGGGUGAUCUCUUCUAUGAUCAGCUUAUGUACAUAAAAAUGGGGGAAUGGAUGAGAAUGCAUUUAAUCCUUCUUCAUUCACCCAACCAACUUAUCACCCUGCAGCAAACUAUUACAGGCUGUUCCUUUUUUGUUUUUUUUGUUUUUUUGUUUUUUUUUUGGAUAGAAGGAGGGCAAUAUUUUGUUUUUUUCUCCAUAGAAGAAAUAGGAGGACAACAAAUUAAAUUAAUUACAUUCCAUUUUUGAAAUGAGCCUCUCAUUCAUUUUUAUCCACUCCUCCUCAAUUUUUAAUUUUCGGGAGUUAAGAGAUUUUAUUCAGUUAUUAGAUUUUUUUAUCAUCUUUUUCUUUGUACUUGGAUUAAAAUUAAUAAAUUUAAUUAGCCAUAUAUUGAUAUUAAUAAAAAAGAAUAACUUAAUUUUUUAAAAAAAUCAGAAAGAAGGAAAGAGGGUGUAAAAAAAUAAAUAAAUAAAAGAUGAAAAGACUAAUUCAAAAUAGCCUAUUCUUAUACUCUCACCCAACUUGUUGUUCAAAUAAGCAAAUAAGGCAAACAACCCUCAUACUAUUCUUCACUAAAUUUGUGGUCACAUUUAUUAUCAUUAUUAUUGGAGUCACUAUCAUCUACAAGUUUUUCCUCCUAUUGCACACUUUUUAAAGUGUAUCUUGAAUUUAAUAGUAAGUUGACCAUAACAUAGGUAGUUGUUUACUAGUAUAUUGGUUUUAUAGAUCGAACAUCCUUGAAACAGAAAUGAAAGGUAACUCAAAGACUAAUGUUCCUUAAUUUCAAAGUAAUAUUUCUAAUUAUUUUCACUAUAGGUGUAAACGGGAGUCAUAAGUUACAGUUGGAGCUGUACUACAGUUUGAAAAUGCGGCCUCGGUGUGACUUCAAACUACUCGCUUAUUUAAAGCAAGAAUUUAGGUGCCAUGAUAGAGUCAAAAAUUUAUCAGCACGACACGACACGAUGAGUGCCGAACCGUCCGAUACAUUAUCCAGAAGAUCAAUUCUGAUAAUAAAUAACACAAAAUAUAUUUGACGUUUUUCGCUCACAUGCAUAAUGAAUAUGAACAGUUGGUAAGGCGAGUGAUUACAUCACAUGCUCAUGCUUUUCCUCUAUCCUAGUGGGCAUCAUUUUGGAGCCUGAACUGAACCCUGCACAAAUUUGUUCCUUGUUUUGGGAAUUGGGACCCCCCCAAAUGAAAGCAUCUAAACUGAUUUUGGCGCCACAUUUCAUAUGUUUAGACUACAGCCCCUUGUAUCUCUCUCUCUUUCUCUCUCUCUCUCCAUUAAAUGUGAGAAGAGGUGCUCUUUCAACUGCUUAACCACUUCAUUACUGCAGGAGCAAGUCCUUCUCUAGAUCUCUCUUCUCUCUCUCUCUCUCCCAUUUGCACUACAAAAUCCAUGGAAAGCUCAUCCUUUUGAUGUGUACUUGCUCCUUCCUCUUUAACACCCUCUCUCUCUCUCUCUCUCUCUCUCUCUCUCUCUCUCUCUCAGCUUUGGAGAAAAUAGAUUAAAAAAAAAAAAUGAGUUGUUGGGUAUCUUAGAACAAAUUUUCCUCUCCUUGCUUUGCUUGGUUCGAUUGCUUUUCCUUUGAUUAUACCUAAAUUUGAAGAAUUUUCAUUUGGGUUUUACUCUAAUUCUUUCAAUUGGGAAAUUUUUUGAACAAAUGCACUUUGUGAAGAGAAGAAGUACCAAAUUUCGAAUGCGAAAUUUGUUUACUCUAUUGUCCCGAUCUUUUUUUCUUUUUUUUUUCCCUAGGGUUUUGUUUUGUUUUUUUAAGAAAAAGGUAACACGCUAUCUGUUUCAUUCGUUCAGAUAAUAAAUUUAGCUAAAUUCAUUUUCUAGGGUUUUGUUGGAUAGAGAAUGAGGAAGGUUUACACAGUUCAAGUGGAGAGCGGAAGGGCCGGGAAGGACGGGCGGCCGUCGGUCGGCCCGGUCUACCGGAGCGCUCUGGCGAAGGACGGUUUUCCUCCGCCGGAUCCCCGAAUGAGCACCUCAUGGGAUAUCUUCAGGUAUUGAUGGCAAACUUAUUAGAAAAAAGGAGAAAUGAAUUUAUUGUUAUAAGAACAAAACCAUGAUUUUUAAUCUUUAAUGUGUUUAGUCAUCUCCUUUUAGUUAGCUGUAAUGUUCUUCUUAAACUAUCUUGCUUAAGAAACUCAAUGCCCUUCGCAAAACUCGAUAAUAUGUGUUGAUAUGUGAAAUUCUUAUACUGCAGUGUGGCAGCAGAGAAGUAUCCGAACAAUAGAAUGCUCGGAUGGCGCGAGUUCGUGAAAGGAAAGGUAUGCAACUUAUGCGUCUUCUGGUAUUUCAUAAAGUAUCAAUUUUUUUUAAAAAAAUUUAUAGAUCAUUUAGAUCCUCGAGUAAUUCUUUGUUUUUGUUUUUUUUGUUUUGCCAAUGUAUAUGAUCAAAUAGCCAGGAUGCUAUAUAUGGAAAACAUACAAGGAAGUCUAUGAGGAAGUGGUUCAAGUUGGUUCCGCUCUGCGGCAGAUGGGCGCUGCACCUGUCAGAAAACCGACUUUCAUUUGAUAUUUUUCUGCUCCUUUCUUAAUUGUUGUGAUCUCACCUGUUCAUUCUGUCAGCUGCAUUCGGAAUUUCGCUGAAAUUAGCAGCUUAUCCCCCCUUUUCAGCUGACGAAAUUGCGUAUUCAGUUAACAUCGCCAUUAGCUUUUACCGAAUCUCCUAUUCAUUUGACAGAAUAACUAAUUACUAGGGCUGUCAAUCAGAAAAAGAUUUUAAGUUGUGAGUUUAUUUCGAAAUAUGGAAUAUAGUUGACGAAGGCCUAUAGAUAUUUCGUUUUCAGGUGGUAGUAUCUAAUGUUCAUAUGCCCCUGUUAUACUGAUGUUACAUUAAUCGGUUACAGGGUUCACGCAUAGGGAUCUACGGAGCAAAUUGCCCUCAAUGGAUAGAAGCAAUGGAGGUAACUCUAGAUCUGUAUCUAGUUUAGCAUUUCGAUGGUUUUAGACCGCAUUUAUCUUAUUUAUUGAUCAAGACCAUGUAGAAACGCUUUUAAAUUAGUAAACUCUCUCAUCUGCAGGCUUGCAAUGGAUACAGCUUAAUAUGCGUUCCGCUCUACGAUACUUUGGGUAAAUGAAUUUAUUCCAAUUCCUUCUUUUGUUGUUUUAAGUUCUUGCAUUGAAGAUACUUUAUCUUCUUUCCACAUGCAUUUCCAAAAGGGUUUGAGCAUACAUGUGAUGAUUUUUGUUACUAUACACUGUCGACCACAAAGCAAAUUUUCUGGUAACAGGGUCAGGGGCUGUUGAUUACAUUUUAGACCAAGCGGAAAUCGACAUUGCUUUUGUUCAGGAUAAGAAAAUGAAAGAAGUGAGAACCAAGUUAUUUUUCUGAGUCUCUCGUUCGCAAAAUGGUUGUUUUCAACACGAAACUGAAUACUCAAUUUUGCAGUUACUGUUCUCCGACUGUGCAUCUCUUCGGAGGCUGAAAGGUAAGAAGCGAUCGAUAUUCGUAUCUUGAUCAAGCUUUUGAAGGAAAAAUAAUCAUAGUGCUUAUUUAUUGAACAUGAUUGCAGUAAUCGUUUCAUUCACUUCGACUACAAUGGAACAAGAGGAAGCUGCAUCUAAAAUCGGAUUGCAAAUUUACUCAUGGAACGAUUUUCUUCGAAUGGUCAGUUUCUAGUUACUUAAUUCUCAAAUUGUGGAGUAUCUUACGCGAACUCUUCUAUUCCAGUGUCCCUUCGCACUGAUUCUACGAUGCUCCCUUAGUCGAAGCUAUUGUUUUGUACCGUUAAUACAGGGAAAGGAGAAUUUGUGCGAGCCUCUUCCUCCUCGACCUCUUGAUAUAUGCACAAUAAUGUACACAAGUGGAACCAGCGGAAACCCCAAGGGUGUGAUUUUGACCCAUGAGAGCAACGCAAUGUAUGUGAGAGGAGUAGAUCUCUAUAUGGACCUGUUUGACGACAAGGUAAAUCUAUUUUUUUGAUCAUUCGCAGUUACUAGAUAAUAUAUUUUCGGCAAUUCUUUGUGUUCUAUCCAUAUUGUGUCAUAAUUAGUCCCCGAAUUUUCGAGGAUCAGUGAUCAAAUUGUGGUAUACGAUAAAGUUCAGAGACAAACUUGCAAUAUCGGGAUAGUACAGUCGACAACUUCGACCAUUAUUUCUCUCUUCCUUUUAUGUAUUCAUAAGCAUGUAUAUGUGUUUUGUAUGUACGCAUGUAUGUAUGCAUGUACGUAUUUGUCGAUAAGAGGUUGAGAAGUUAUGACACAUUGUUGUUAUCAGAUGACAGUGGAUGAUGUCUACCUCUCCUUUCUCCCCCUCGCUCACAUUCUCGAUCGCAUGCUCGAAGAGUACUUUUUCCAUAAAGGGGCCUCUGUUGGGUACUAUCACGGAGUAUGUACAUCGUCUUUGCGUUACUUUCAUAAAUACAAAGUUUUUCAACUAAUUCUCCAUAUCUUAAAUAAUUUGCUAUAUUCUAUUACAUUUCCGCCAAAAAUCUACACUGAACCCUAUUUUUUUGUUGUAUUAAGGAUAUUAAUGCUUUGAGGGAUGAUCUCAUGGAAUUAAAGCCAACUCUAUUUGCCGGAGUCCCUCGAGUUUUCGAAAGAGUCCAUGAAGGUUUAUAUUGCUUCUUUAUAUAUCGAACAUUAUCAACCAUAUUAUUGCAACUCAGAAUUAUUUGUAUAUUUUGAUUUCUAGGUAUAUUAAAGGCUCUAUCGGAACUCUGGCCGCAUAGAAGGAUGAUAUUUAAUGCUCUGUACAAACAGUAAGUUGUUCUUUCUCUUCAUUUCUUACUAAAAUACAUCAAGUGCAUCGAUUUUAUUUUUAUCUGACAAUUGAAAUUUCAGUAAAUUAUCAUGGAUGAGAUCAGGAUAUUCACAUAAAACAGCAUCCCCUCUCGCCGACUUCUUGGCCUUUAGUAAGGUCUUAUCUUCUCUAUACCAAACAUGAAAGUUUUUAUUUUUUAUUUUUUUGCAAUAUUAUCUGUUAAAAAUAUUUUUCAUAAUUAUCUAAAUUGUCGGAAUUUUUCCUUUUUUUUUUCAAUUUAGAUCAAGGCUAGGCUUGGGGGCCGAGUUCGCCUAAUUAUAUCUGGGGGCGCUCCGCUGAAUACUGAGAUUGAGGAGUUCUUGAGAGUCACAAGCUGUGCUUAUGUUACUCAAGGAUAUGGUAAUUUACACAAAGCUGGUUUCUGAAGUUUUUCGACUAGCAUUCGUGUAAUCCUUUAUUACUACUAAGAAAUAUAUAUGCCCUUGUACUUAUUUCUAACUAGGUAAAUAGUUAUGGCCUUCUAAGUACGCGGUUUUGUGAUGCUUUGAUUAAUUAAUUCCUUAUAUGAUUCAAAUUUAUGUUCCAUCGGUCGUUUUAACAAAUAAUUUCUUCAUCAUUCACCAUCUUUAAGUCCUUUUUUAUCUUGAUUCUUUUGAAUUGGUAAUGAAAACAUUUGAUGGUGAAAUUCUUUCACUCGUAACUCACAUUAAUAUAAUAAGAAUGAACUCCUUGAGAAUCUAUCAAAUAUGACAGAUUUAGGAUUAAAUUUUGAUUGCUGAAGUUUAUUUCAGCAAAACAAUCAGUCAAAUUUUCAAAUCAAAACCUUCUUCCUUGGGGCUUCAAAUUUUUUUUUAAUCGUUGGGAAGAAACAUUCCUGCUCUAAACAUUGUGCUUGUAGUUGAAAUGCCGAGGACUAAAAGAGUGUACAUUGUAAAAAAUCAAUGCCUUUUCAUCGUUCAGGGUUGACGGAGACAUGCGGUUUGAGUUCGAAUGGAGUUCCUGACGAAAUGUCCUUAAUCGGAACUGUCGGAGUGGCCUCUACGUAUACCGAACUGCGGCUAGAAGAAGUGCCCGAGAUGGGUUAUGAUCCGCUCAGUGUCCCUUCCCGCGGUGAAAUAUGCGUCAGAGGGAAAACUCUCUUUUCCGGGUACUACAAGAAUCCCGAACUGACGAAAGAAGUGAUGAUAGAUGGAUGGUUUCACACAGGUACAUGAAAAUCUCACAAUUUUGAUGUAUUGCUCUUCAAAAUGUCACAUUUAGCCGCGAGAAACUACACCUUCGAAGGGAACAGAUUAAAAUUCAGAUUUUGCAAGGGUGUAACCUCAUUAAUCCUUCGUGUUCAGGGGAUAUUGGAGAGAUCUCCCCAGAGGGAGUACUAAAAAUCAUAGAUAGGAAGAAGAACAUAUUCAAGCUAUCUCAUGGGGAAUAUGUUGCAGCAGAGUACCUGGAGAAAGUAUACGGUUACUUGCCGAUUAUCGAAGAUGUAAGCAUUUUACACUACUUUUGCUGUGGUCGAAAGAGCUUAGCGAUUCCUCGAGCAAUUAUAAUUAGACACAAUCAUUUUUUUUCUUUCUUUCUUUAGAUCUGGGUUUACGGGGACAGCUAUCGAUCCAUGUUAGUUGCGGUGGUUGCACCGCAUGAAGAUAAUACUAUGAAAUGGGCAGAGUCGAACGGCCACAAGGGAUCAUUUUACGACAUUUGUGCACUAGAGGAGCUUAAGAUUUACAUUCUUCAGGAGUUGAAGGCACUUGCAGAGAAAAAUAAGGUAAGAUUCUCUCUUUUUUUCCCUGAUGUAAAAGGAUAAAAUACUUGAUCAAGAAGAACAGAACUAUUUAGUUGGAUAUGAGCUUUGGUUUAUUAUAUCUGUCGUAUCUUUUACAGUAUGUUUUAUAAGAACAAAGUUACCGAUAAAUUGUUCAGUGCACUUGCGCUAACUUAUCGUCACUUGUUUACGAACCAGCUAAGAGGUUUCGAGUGCAUUAAAGGCGUUGUCGUGGAUCCGGUGCCUUUCAACGUUGAAAGGGAUUUGAUGACUCCGACUAUGAAGAAGAAAAGAUCCCAGAUGUUCAAACACUAUCAGGUAAACAGAAAGAACUGAAACUAUUGUUGUUUUUUGUGCUCUCUCUUAUUACAUCCAUUUCAUUUAGUCGUAAUUAAAUCUCUCUCCUUUUUUCUUUUUUUUGGUGCUGUGACAGUCGGAGAUCGAGAAACUCUACAAGAAUCUUGCAGAAAGGCGAGGAGAUAAUAAUAAAGUUAGAAAUGUAUGAUAAUUGGAUUGCAUUGUAUGUAAUGUGUUAAAUGGACAAAAUGCAUUAUUGUAUAUGAUACCUACUUAAAACUAUGGCCCUAAGAUCCUUUUAAGGCAAUAAAAUUAGAACUACUUAUUGCUAUUCUCGAAGCUUUUAUCACGAAUCUGUUUCUUUCUGAAAUGUUUGUUUGGUUUGGACAUAAAAUUGUGCCGAUGAUUUAUCGAUAGUAAGGCGACAAUUAAUGAGCCUGGCACUGAAGUAUGCAGUUGUGGAAGUUCAUGGGUGUUUACUUUUUGGAUGAGUUAACAAUGAAAAGAUGAUUAGUUCCGCGUUGUUCUUGCGUUAACAGGAGUACAUUUAUAUUUCAGCUUCACAAUUAUGAUGUUUCUGUGCGCAUUUCUAAUAACAUCAAACGCUAUUUUGGUUGCAGAAUUUUGAAUCUACAGAUGUUUCAGCUUCAGUUUGUGAAGAACUAGAAAAGUUCUCUAGAUGUUGCAUUGUUUAAGAAACACUAGUUUCAAUGCAGUUACUAUUGUUUAAUUAUUUUUCAAAAUAAUCACAUAAUAGUAUAUCAGAUUGUUAGGUCGAAUUACAAAUGAACGAUAAUUUUUUAGAUAAAAAAUGGAUGACAAUAAAAAGAAAUUAUAAUUUUAGUAUGCAUUUUUUGUGCUGCCGGCGCAUUCUUAUCCAUUUAGGCCGCAUUUGGUUCGGCUAAAGACGAAUCGACAAAUUUUUUCCGGUAUAAAAAAUAUUUUUCCAUGACGAAUCUACAAAUUAUUUCUGGUAUAAAAAAUAUUUUUUCCGUGUAUUUAGUUUUACAUAAAAAUAUUUUUUUUACGGAUUUUGAAAAAAAUUAUAAUUUUCGUCUUCCGUUGUUUUUCAGCGAAAAAUGAAUACUCCAGCCACAUAAAAUUUUUUUAUUUAUUUUUUUCCAAAUCAAAGCAAAUGUGAAUUUUUUUCUUAUAACCAAACAAAUGUUGAUAAAAAAAGAAAAUUUUCUACAAAUGAAAUACUACAAAAAAAAAAAUUUAUCAAAAUUUUUUUUCACGAAAAAUUAUUUUUCAAUUGAACAAAAACCCGUAGGAAAAGAAAAAAAAAAAACGUUGAACUUAGUUAGCUGCACGAUCCAUAUAGACCACUCCGUCCAACAGCUUACACGUGUCUGUAGAUUAUUGGACCUCCAGUCAUCCGAUUCAUGAAUGACGUGGUACACAAAGACCACGCAAUAAUGUAUUCUAAUCGCCCGAUUUUAACCCCACACCCCACUCCGUUCCCACUCCAUCCAACGGCUGUAGCGGUUCCCUCCUUGGAAAAUGGCGGCGCUAUGGGCUCACCUCUCCAAACGCCUCAUCGGCGGCGGCGGCGCCUCCUCCUCCUCCGCCGCCGCGCCGCCGNNNNNNNNNNNNNNNNNNNNNGCCCCCCCCCCACCCCCCCACCCCUCCUCUGAUCGCCUCGUUCUAGGGUUUUGCUAGGGUUUCAUCUCCUUCCCUGCUCUUUUCGCAGCGAAGGUGGGGAUCCCGGAGUUCCUCAGGGGGGUGGGGAAGGGCGUGGAGGCGCACGUGGCGAAGCUCGAGGCGGAGAUCGGCGACAUCCAGAAUCUUCUCGUCGCCCGAACCCUUCGCCUCAAGAAGCUCGGCAUCCCCUGCAAACACGUAAUCGCUCUACACUCCCCCUCGUUUUAUUCGAAUUAAUUUACUAAUUAUCAUGAAAAAAUUGUUUCUUGUGUUUAUUUUCUUGGUUUCUCCCUCAAAUUAUCUUAAAGUUGCUUGCUUGCUUGCGGUAGCUUCAUUAGUUCCUUUUUCUAGAUGGAAGGAGUACAAAUGGAUUGAAUGCCGUUAUUGGGAGCAUUUUAUAUGCUUGAUUUGAUUUUAUGAUUUAGUUACUUAGUGAUUUAGAAGAUGGGGACAGUGGAAAUUAAUCUUGAAUAAAGAUCAACCUAUGUAAAGUCGCUUUGAAAAGAGAAUAGAGGGGGUUCCUUUUUUUUUCCAAUGAGCACUGUGAGGAGGUUCUUGAUGCAUUUCAUGUUUUAAUACUAUUGUAUAUAAGGAAUUGGUGUUGUAAUUUUGUUGCAGUGAUGAAGAAUGUAGUAUCUUCCUUAGUCAUUUUCUUUGCAAGGUUGUAAUUUGAAUCGUUUCAUGCAUUAAAAUUAAUAAGUAACACGCUUUUUGGUCAUUGGAAUGCCAAAUUAGACAAAUAGCUUUUUAGCCUUCUAGAACGGCUUCUACUAUUGACCAUUUUUUAUGGGCCAUGAGAGGUUAACUUUGGUCAUUGCUAAGUUAAAGCAUUGGUUUUGGUUUAUGUUGGGAUCCUGAAGUUUGGCUUCAACAUUUGCAAGACCUGUAUUUUUUUCUACUUUUUGGUUCCUUCACAAACAUGCAUAAAAUUCUGAAUUCAAAAAUAUGUGAAGAUUUGAAUUAAUCUAGAGAAUCAUAGUUUUUAUAUAUUUAGAUGUAUUGAAGUGUUGUUUUAUGCCACUUUCAUGUGUAACUCAGUUGAUUUCCAAGUUGUUGCCUAUUUAGUCAGAGAAAAGAAAUUAGAAAGUAAAGUAGGAAUCAUGGAGUUGUUACUGGACACUUUAGUAACCUUCUCUACAUAUACACUUGCCUGGAUAUAUGUAGGAAUCUCGGAUCCCCUUUUCUUUGGAGCAUAUCUAUAAGACUUAUGAUGCCUUAUCCCUAUGCGAAAAGCCUAAUCACUUUUCACUGCAACUUCAACCAUUAAUGGUUGGAGAGUCCUGUCAUCUAACAAUACUGAUUACUUUUGAGUUAAUUUGCUUGCAAUGUCAUCAUGAUUUACAAAUUGUGAUGGAUUAAUAGUGAGUUGAGUUGACCUGUACUGGUCAACCUGAAAUGAGAUCUCUUGUCAAUAUAGGUUUAUAAAGUCUUGGCAAACAAAAUGUGUUGAAAUACAGUGCUAGCCUCUUGUGUGAAAGACGCUUUCGAUGGUAGUUAUUGCCUUGUUGAUUGGUCGUAGGGUAUGUUUGGUAGCUUAAGCAAGGCUUCGCUUUUAAACUUGCAACUUUUUGAGUUCAACAGGAACUGUCAAUUUAAUUCGAUUACUUGGUCAAAUCAGGAUGUCCAAUUUGGAUCCUGCAUUGCCUUAGGGUCGCCUAAUCCAACCCUAAUUUUGAGUUGGGUAAUGUUUGACAUCAAAUCAACCUGAAACCAUCUUAUCCAAGCCAAUCAGGUCUGUUCAUAGAACAUAGAUUAUCUUUCUAGGAGAUGUAUAGCAGCAUAGAGAUACUUCUUACACCCCGUGAAGAACAAAAAGGUGUGAUUCAUUAUCUCCAUCUAUCUUUUGUGUUGGGAAUUGUGAUUUCCAUACACUAAGCAUAUGCUAAAACCCUACCUCACUAGAACUUACCGUAGACUGGAAAUUUCCCUGUCAAAUGUUUUUUUCGUUCUUAGUAACUCUUUCCUGGUGACUUUUUAACCCAAAUACCAUCUCGACGGUGUGCAAGUAUUUUCUCUAACCUUAUGGCAACCUUUCUUUGGUGACUUGAAAAGUUCAUUUAUCUGGAAGAUUGGAAAGGUACUUAAGGCAUGGUUCAAAAACUCCUUUUUAAUUUGGUCUGUCAAAAUGAAACAUUUCGGCAUUUAUGGUUAGGUAAUUUCUGUUAUUUGCUCUCGAACAAGUCUAUUGGAAACAACUUGACCUCACAGCAUUAAUCUCGUAAUAUUUUGAUAUAUUAGACUUAUGUUUUAUGUUACUUCUAUGAACUAUAAUGUUGGUUUUCAUAUUGGCACCUAAAUUAUGUUGUUCUCUAUAUGUUUUGCUUUGGGUUGUGUGCAUGCACAAGGGAAAGGUUUAUCCUUACUGAGAAGCCUUAUGAAUAUUAUUUACGGCUAUUUGAUAAUACUUGACCAGCCCAAAUUAAGUUGAUGAUUGAACAAGCAUGCAUGUUUUAUUUACCCAAAGAUGUUAAUGCCACUCUGUAUCUGACUUCAUAAUAUUGCUUGAUAUACUUACUGUGAGGUUUCCGUGAUGUUUUUUGAGUCACGCAGAGGAAGUUGAUCCUGAAGUACACCCAGAAGUAUAGGCUUGGACUUUGGAGGCCCCGGGCUGAACCACAAAAGUUGCAGUGAUGUUAACUUUGGUGGUUGAAGAAAACCAACUUUGAGAGAGCACUCUCCAAAAUGAACUUGCAAAUAGCCGUCUCCUUUCUGAACUCUUGAUCUGAAAAUGAAUAAGGCAUCAGGUGGUUUCAGAGUCGUUCAAACUGUCCACGAGAACAUUAUUUGGAUGUGUCGCUCGACAAUGAUCAUAGGUUCCAACUUGAAAAAUAUGAAACCCAUCUAGGUGACUCUUACAUGGUAAUUGCGGUUUAAUACCUUUAUAAUCUUGUAUCCUUUCCUGACCGUACUAUUUGUUUUUGAAAAGUUUAUAUUAUUGGUACGUAAUUACAGCUUCGUAUGAAAGGAACUUCUGCUUCUUUAAAUCAUGGUAUUUAGUACUUUUCGCUAUCACACGGUCAUCCUCCUAUGACUUAGAGCGAGCAUCAGUUAGGUUGGUUUGGUUUUAGAGGGUUGUUUUAAGAAUAGCGAUGAACCCUACCAAACGAAAGUGGAAUAAUUCAGUUCAAUUCAGUUCGGUUGGUUUAUUUUGUCUGGUCAAGAAAUUCCACUUGUCGAAUGACAGAUAUUAGUAAACAAUUUUUAGUAUGAUUACAUCCGUUUAAGUGUUUAAGCAGCCAAUUUGUUUCAAACUGCUAUUAAUGCAGUUUAUUGAGUUUCUAGGUGUAUCUUAAGCUGAAAAGAAAAAAUGGACCGACUCAUUCGAGUUCUGGAGUUCGUUUUGGACUAGACAGUUCUCACCCCCCUGCCGAUGACUCUAGAUUCCUACUUGAAGAUGGAAAAUUGUACAUGAUAUUUUGCAGUCUAGUGCCUUUUGGGUGUUGUAUUUUCUAGUCAGACAAGCUCAGUGGUCCUACUGCAUAUUCCUACAGGUAAACUGCUUUCUAGUGGAUAGAAGCUGAUUCUGCUUUUUCAUGUGUGGCGUGUAAAUGUAUACAAGCAAUCUUGACACUUAGAAAAGUUGUGAACUCUUUAGAGUAGUUUGGAUUAGGCCAACUAAAGGUACAGUAGUUGUUCUUUUGUUAUGCAGGUGGAUUAGAUUGUGUAGAUGAACCGAAGUGAUUUCUCAUGUUAUUCAUUUACCUGUAUGCAACCAGAGGCUAUAUAAUUACCAAAGUUGGUGGUGCUAAAACAAGAUUGGGUAGGAGAAUUUUCUUGUAUUAUUAUGAGCAAGUUGUAUAAUUUGGGCCUCUUCAAAUAUUUUGUUAUCUAUAAUUUAAUAAGAUAACAUAUUUUACCUAUAAGGUGAUUUCUUUUAUUCUGAAUAAAUGACUUGAAGUUUGAAUAUUAUAUUUUAUUUUAAAUAUUUGAUCACAUUUUGUAUCAAUCAGAUGAUAAAUUUCAGAAUAAAUUGUAGGAAUAUACUGAAAAAGAUAUUCAUGUAUCUAAACGUAUGUUAUAUGUAUGUUUGCUACAUGUCAAAUCUAAAUGGCAAGAUUUGACGCUGACGUGGUAAAUAUUGGUUGGUGUUAACACAGUAGUCUGAAAUAAACAAUUAAGGUUGUGGACCUAAUUGGAAAAAAGAAAAGACCAAAAUGAAAAAAUUCGAUAAAAGUUGGGACAAUUGUGCCAUUAAUUGUAUUCUACUGAAAGGGCAAUAGUUAAUUAAAAAAAAUUAUAUUGAUAAAUUCCCUAAGUUGGUAACAUUUUUUGGACAUAUAUCCAGAUACUUAUCCACUUGUAACAUGUUCCAAAGAAAGUGUCAGAUUAAAUUAUUUAUUUAUUUAUUUAUUUAUCCAGAUAAGGCAUCCCCACAUUGGUAGUGGUUUUAGCCAGUUGGUUGGUGAUGGUUGCAGGUGCCAUAUUUAUGUAAGCAUCAAUAGAAAUUAAUUUAGUCCCCUUCACUUCUUUUUCAAGAUCACUCUGGUGGAGCCCAUACUUUGGUAAAAAGAUUUGUUUCUUUUAAUUGUUUUUCUCUUCAUAGUGUUGCAAGAACUAUCAAGUUUUCCUGCUAAAACCGUGCUAACAACUUCAAAUCAAAAUUGAUCUCUACAUUUUAAGACCUGAAAGCUCACUAUCUUUCUAUCACGAUUGAGGAUUCCAAAUUUCUUGUUUGCUACACAGCUUAGGAGAGACAUAUCAAAAUCUAACCAAAACAAAAUGUUCAAAAAAAGUAAAAUGAUCUAUUCAAUGAUCCAAUAUCUCUAUCAACUAACCUAGCAAUUAGAAACAAUUCAAGUGCAUUGCAAAACAAAGUGUAUGAGAGAGGGAGGGGCUGUUCUUACAAAUUAGAAAAAGAAAUACAGAGGAGAUGAAAAUACAGCAUCAAAAUUUCCAGUAAAAAUUGCCAAUAAAAAGGAAGACCAAAAGGACCUCCAAAUUCUCAGCAGAAAACUCAUGCUGUCAUUUACAGGGCACACCUCAGCAAAGGGCAAAAAACCUCAUGACAUUAUAUAUACAUAGCGUAGAUUACGUAAAAUUACAGGCGUCGUCACAACGCAGCCUAUUUAUUUAUCUUUUCUCUUCUUUUUUUCUUUUUUUUUUUUUCUGACCCUUGAUACAAAAUCCUUCUCAACCAGGUACUCGGCUUUCCUCUCCGUGGACACUCAGCCGAGAUAAUGCGGUCACGUCGCUGCAAAAGAACAAUGAAUGGUAAUUGUUAUCAGCUCAAUUUUUUUUUUUUUUUUCCCUUUGUGAUUUUUGGGUGGACACUCUGACCAAAAGAAUGACAGAUAAUAUUACUCCUAGCUAACGAUUGUCGCAAAUUUCAACCAAAAUGCUCUAUAUUUGAAGCAAAAGAGAUGAUAGCUAUGUUGCACAGAUGGAUACGGGAUACGAAGAUACAAUAUGGAUAAAAAGAUGCGACGAAUUCUCAAACAAGGAAACACUCGAUGGCCACAUUCACCUAGUAUCGGUCAUGUAUCAGACGCGUAUCGAUCGCUAAUACACAAAGCAUACGGUCACAGCUUUCAAAAUGAAGUGUCCAUCGAUCCUAGGAUAAUAGGUUUUCAAUGUAGGGGAGCUUUGAGAGAAGAACAACAUUAAGUUACAAGUUACACACAGAAAAAAAGAGGAGUGACAUACUUGGUAGAUGCAGAGGUAGAACCACCGGGGCUGAUCAUAGAGACAUUAUUGUAGAAUUGAACAGAGAUAAGUCCACCAUUUACCGAUGAUUCAGGAGAACCACGAAAGCUUAAACUCGAGCUAUUUCUUGAAAAAACUCCUGCCAACGAAGAAGAAACGGUACAAAUUACACAAGGAAAAUGAUCGCAUACAUGCUAUAUAUGUACUUGAAUGAAGUUUGACGCUUUACACUAAUUGUUCAACAAAGAUGAAGAUAUUUUCAAAUUUCCUUCCAAUGGACAUUCGACAAGUAAUAGUAGCUAAUUUAAUCAGAUUCAUUCCACAACUUAAUCCAUAAACCUGUUGAGCACAUGCAACUACAAACAGCACUCCAGAGUGUAGAAAGGUUUCUAAUAUGGAUAUAAUGUCAAAAGCAUACAUAUUUGUCCUAAGUUUUAACGUCUCUACGCAUUUAAAGAGAGUGCAAAAAUUACCAUCUUUAGAAGCUAAAAGAUAUGUUAUACACGCUUAGGCCUUCAUCCUUGUCCAAUUCUAGUUACUAUAUAUGAAAUAGUAGAAAAUCCAACAAAAGAUCAUGCAAGUAAUAAAAGAUGCAAAUCAUUUUACGUGCAAUGAAAAUAGUGACAGGUUAAAACCCGAAGCAACCAAAUAACAUAUAUAAAAAUGUACAAAUAGUAAGAAAAGAAUGUAUCUGUAAUGUAUGCUGUAACUAGAUAAGCAACAUUAAGGACAGUUAUAUUACAUACUAAAUAAACUCCAAGGAAAGGACUAUGACGAAAUGAGAUGACUAUAGUAUAGCACCAAUAAUGUCGAUCAGAAGAUUACAGAAAGAUAAAAGGUACAUUGAAAUUAAAAAGGAAAAAAUAUCAGAAAAACUAUGAAUUAAAAAGAAAUAUAGGAAAUUGUUAUUAGCAAACCAAGUUAUUCUUAUGCUGCUAUCAUGUAACAGUGAAACUAGCCUAGCAAGGAAAGGAUUUGAAAAAAAGAAAACAAGAGCACUAAUUAGUUUCCUAUUAUGCUUAUGGUGUAGUUAUACAACAAGAAAAGAAAGCACAUAUUUGGUCAUCUUAAAAGACUUAGUUAGGCGAAAGCAAAUAUCUUGUUCAUGCAUCAUCUACUAAGGAUAGUGUUAGCACAAUGCGAGAACGAACUUGUAGACUCAACAAUGAUGAUAUUUCAUAAAUAAGUGAUGAUCUUUUAUACACCGAGUAUCACAAAUGAUAUUGCAAAGGAUAUAGUAGCACUUAUUAUUAGGAACACAAGUAAACCUACUGGAAUUCUCUAAUUGAAUUUGAGUUUCAAGUACUUAAAAACUUCUCAUUGCUAGCAUAAACCUGUUCAAUAUGCAUCAACCAAUAUGAUCAAUUAGCACCAAUUUGUAGAAAUCAUGUAACUCAAUUGACCCACCUUGCCAUAUUAUAACAAGGCAAAAGAGAAUGGUGAUAACUAAAGCACCCAAAUUGGUACUGGGCACUGACGAUGCCGACUUGGCAUUCUUCGUCCGCUUCAGCUCCUUCAUCCUCUCAAUCCUCGCCCUCUUCAUCGUCGCCAGCUCGGACAUCUCGCGGAUGAGCUUCUCGUCAGCGGAAUCCAAUGCCAGCGGCUUCGGAGGCCGGGGAGGCUUCGGGGGCUUCUUGGGCCGCUUCUUCUUCGGCUUCUCAGCUUCGGGCUUCUGCACAAGCCCUUCCUUUUCCACUACAGCUUCUCCAUUAAUAGGAACCUCUUUACUCUUGAGGCAUCCCUCGUCGCCCACAAAACCAUUCCAUACCUUACUCAAAACAGCUUUUGCCUCUCCAGCCCUAGAGAUUGGGUCUCUUGACGCGCCAUGCUCGUCAACUAUUAUUGAUUUUGUCCCACUCUCGAGAUCAAUUGAGGCAUGAUCGAUCGAGACAUCUCGAUCAAUCAAUCUCUUUGUUUCCAUCACAAAACACAAUAUAAAUCUCUUAAAUCAUCACAAAAUGAGCCAAAAAUCUACUCCUUUUUUCUUCGGUAGUCCUAGGUUAGAUUAGAUCCUUCCAAAAAAACCCAGCAUCAGAUUCUCCAUAUCUUUGCCUAAAUCAUUGGAAUAUAUCUCAAAUCCACCAUCUCCCUGAAAAAAAAUUAGGGCGCAAAAUCAAGCUCAUUCCCCAACAAUUCGAACCAUUUCCCCCCACAACCAUCGAAAAAUAGCAAAUUGAAACACAAAUGCAGCUGAGAAAAAAAAAACACCAUCAAAAACGAAUUUUGAAACUGAAUCCUUAACCGAACCAUAUAAAACCCAAAUAUUACCUAAAGAUCAACAGAAAGGGCAAAACCGUAUAAGAGGAAACAGCCAAAAACGCGUAAAGCUCUCAACUUUCACCCUAAAAUCAAGGGGGCGAACGCUUAUCCUACCUCCGGAGUGUACUAGAAAUGAUCGAAUCGAAUAAAUUAGAGGAAAAAAGAGAGAGAGAUGAAUCCAACGAGGUGAGAGAAGAGGAUAGGGUUAGGGUUUUCAAGGGGCGGAUUCGGAGCUCAUAGGGCAACGUGAGAGAGAGAAAGAGAGAGAGAGAGAGAGGAAUUGUUAAUGGAAUUAAAAAUUAGAAAAAAAAAAAGAGGGGAUUUUUUUUUUUGAGAAAAAAAAAGAGGGGAUUUUAAUGGCGUCGGAAGGGAAAGGGCCAAAGGAGAGAGAGAGAGAGGAGAAUAAACUAUUGCGUGGACCGCGGUCUAUAGACCGAGUCCGUUUAACUCAAGCACCAGGUUUAACAAAAUAAAAAAUCUUUACAAAUAAAUAAUAUUAAAACAAAAAUUUUAAAAGUAAUAAUUUUUUUAAAAAAUUCAUAAUAAAUUUCUAAAAUUAAAAUUUCAAAUCAAUGGAUGUGGUUACAUACAAACAGCAAAAGAAUGAUUACAAAAAAAAUUUAAAAAAGUUGUAAGCUGUAAGCCUACUCAUGUAAUGUAGACAUGAAUAUUAUUUCGUUAAAAAAUUUAAGUUUAUCAUCUAGAUUUUGAAAAAAAAAAAAGGUCAAAUUACUAAAUAUUUUUAAAAAUAUAAUACAACUUUUUUUUCAAAUUUCCUAAAAUUUAGGUUAGUUUGGUAUGCUCUGUUUUUAAUAAAUUAAAAAUAUUUUAGACGUGUGUUAAUCACGUCAAAAGAAGGUUACGAAACCCCGGUCUAUGGACCACGGUCCACGCAAAAAAAGCUCCACUCUUAGAACGUGAAAGGGUCAAAUUGUACUCUAGGGUUCGGAUAAGGGGAAAAAGUGAUCUUUGGACACGUGUCCUACAUCUGGGCCGUCCAUUUGGAUGGAUCUUUCGAGAAGUUUGUGAACAAUACCAAGUCCACAGUGGGGGACACCACAACACGUCCAAACGAAGAGACAUAAAAUAAAUAAAAUAAAUAAAUAAAUAAAUAAAUAAAUAAAACAAACCUUGUACGACCAAAACCCACGGUGUACGCGAAGAUUCGGCGAUAGCUCCUCGAAUAUGCCGAGUUCACCUUUUUCUUUUUCUUUUU
This 35658-nucleotide long non-coding RNA is filed under the name Ananas comosus (pineapple). RNAcentral's name for it is "long non-coding RNA (ACOM_LNC021837)". The record is from RNAcentral. Lineage: Eukaryota; Viridiplantae; Streptophyta; Magnoliopsida; Poales; Bromeliaceae.